This 77-nucleotide transfer RNA is filed under the name Phenylobacterium sp. Its description in RNAcentral is "tRNA-His". It matches the Rfam family "tRNA". Rfam says of the family: Transfer RNA (tRNA) molecules are approximately 80 nucleotides in length. Their secondary structure includes four short double-helical elements and three loops (D, anti-codon, and T loops). Further hydrogen bonds mediate the characteristic L-shaped molecular structure. tRNAs have two regions of fundamental functional importance: the anti-codon, which is responsible for specific mRNA codon recognition, and the 3' end, to which the tRNAs corresponding amino acid is attached (by aminoacyl-tRNA synthetases). tRNAs cope with the degeneracy of the genetic code in two manners: having more than one tRNA (with a specific anti-codon) for a particular amino acid; and 'wobble' base-pairing, i.e. permitting non-standard base-pairing at the 3rd anti-codon position. The record is from RNAcentral. RNAcentral also lists the same sequence under 5 other names. Lineage: Bacteria; Pseudomonadati; Pseudomonadota; Alphaproteobacteria; Caulobacterales; Caulobacteraceae.
GCCGCCCUAGCUCAGUUGGUUAGAGCGCCAGAUUGUGGCUCUGGAGGUCCCCCGUUCGAUCCGGGGGGGCGGUACCA